AACGAACGCUGGCGGCAUGCCUAACACAUGCAAGUCGAACGAGACCUUCGGGUCUAGUUGCGCACGGGUGCGUAACGCGUGGGAACCUGCCCUUAGGUUCGGAAUACUUCUCCGAAAGGGGUGCUAAUAUCGGAUAAUUUCUUCGGACCAAAGAUUUAUCUCCUUAGGGUGGGCCCGCGUUGGUUUAGCUGGUUGGUAGUGUAAAAGCCUAUCAAGGCGUGGAUCCAUAGCUGGUCUGAGAGGCAGAUCAGCCACACUGGGGCUAGGACACGGCCGAGAAUACUAGAGGAGGGGGGAGUGGCGGAUACUGGCAUAUGGGGGGAAGGAAGAAGGAGUUAUGGCGGGUGAGCGAUGAAGGUGUUAGAGAAGUGCAGCUGUUUUACACGCGGUGAUAAUGACGGUACCGGGAGAAUAAGCACCGGCUAACUCCGUG
This 433-nucleotide ribosomal RNA is filed under the name uncultured bacterium. RNAcentral describes it as "partial 16S ribosomal RNA". It matches the Rfam family "Bacterial small subunit ribosomal RNA", at positions 29 to 507 of the family's 1533-position model. The record is from RNAcentral.